Molecule: long non-coding RNA, 993 nt
Filed under: Mytilus galloprovincialis (Mediterranean mussel)
Lineage: Eukaryota; Metazoa; Mollusca; Bivalvia; Mytilida; Mytilidae
Source: RNAcentral
AAAUAACUAAGACCUGUCUCGAAUGGCGUCCAGUACAGGUACAUAUUGUGACAUCUGUCAGAGCAGACAUAUAUAUAAGGCGGCGGAGGAAUACUGUCCUGUAUGUGAAGAAGUCUUAUGUUCCGAUUGUUAUGAUCAUCACAAACUGUCAAAGGCAACAAAAAGUCACCAAGUGAUCUCGAUAGACGAGUAUAACAAGUUGCCUGCCUUUAUUCGAGAGAUCAAACAACAAUGUGACGAACAUGGGGAUAAGUUUGAAUUUUUCUGUCCAACGCAUAACGAGUUGUGUUGCAAACGAUGCAUAACAACAUCUCAUAGCGAGUGUAAAGGAUCAAAAGUUAUAGAAGAUUUUGUUGAAUUUUCGAAAUCUUCCGCGGCCAUAGAUGAAUACGAACAAACUUUAAAAGACGUUGAAGAGAAUACUCAAACUGCAAUUGCCGAUAGAAAAAAUAAUGUUGAAGAAUUUGAAAAACAGACACAGGCCAUAAGAAAACAAAUUAAAAAUAAAAGGAUUGAAAUCAACCAGCAUUUCGACAACCUUGAAGCGACAAUAAUGAAAGAAUUAUUCACUAUUAAAAGUGAAAAGAAACAAAACGUCCAGUCAGUUAUUGAAAAAUUAGAAGAAAACAAGAACAAAAAUAUACAACUCAGGGAAGAUGUAGAAGCAAUGAAAAAGUAUGGAUCAAAUAUACAAGUAUUUAUGGGAACAACAAAACUUCAACAACCCGUAUCACGUCAAGAGAGAUUUGUUCGAUCAUUACAAGACGACGAGAGUUUACGUUUCGUUAACUUGGAAUGUUCCAUUAGUGAAGAGUUAAAUGGCAUCACGACAAGGAUUCGAUCUUUCGGUACGGUUACACCGAUUUCUACUACUUCACGUGCUCAAUUUAAUUGGAAAAGUGACAAAUCAGCUCAGAUAUUGAAAACACCGACAGAUAUGAAUAGUAUUGACAAUAUUAACACUAAACUGAUAUGUAAGAUAGACGUUAAUAC